ACACGGCCCAGACUCCUACGGGAGGCAGCAGUAGGGAAUCUUCCGCAAUGGACGAAAGUCUGACGGAGCAACGCCGCGUGAGUGAUGAAGGCUUUCGGGUCGUAAAACUCUGUUGUUAGGGAAGAACAGGUACAAGAGUAACUGCUUGUACCUUGACGGUACCUAACCAGAAAGCCACGGCUAACUACGUGCCAGCAGCCGCGGUAAUACGUAGGUGGCAAGCGUUAUCCGGAAUUAUUGGGCGUAAAGCGCGCGCAGGCGGUUUCUUAAGUCUGAUGUGAAAGCCCACGGCUCAACCGUGGAGGGUCAUUGGAAACUGGGGAACUUGAGUGCAGAAGAGAAAAGCGGAAUUCCACGUGUAGCGGUGAAAUGCGUAGAGAUGUGGAGGAACACCAGUGGCGAAGGCGGCUUUUUGGUCUGUAACUGACGCUGAGGCGCGAAAGCGUGGGGAGCAAACAGGAUUAGAUACCUUGGUAGUCCACGCCGUAAACGAUGAGUGCUAAGUGUUAGAGGGUUUCCGCCCUUUAGUGCUGCAGCUAACGCAUUAAGCACUCCGCCUGGGGAGUACGGUCGCAAGACUGAAACUCAAAGGAAUUGAC
This 599-nucleotide ribosomal RNA is filed under the name bacterium enrichment culture clone F56x_A6_T3-_A06. RNAcentral's name for it is "bacterial SSU rRNA". It matches the Rfam family "Bacterial small subunit ribosomal RNA", at positions 324 to 914 of the family's 1533-position model. The record is from RNAcentral.